Non-coding RNA from Cherax quadricarinatus, 1948 nucleotides. Lineage: Eukaryota; Metazoa; Arthropoda; Malacostraca; Decapoda; Parastacidae. The record is from RefSeq and is a predicted model, not a curated record.
UGUUUUAAUCACUUCCUAGACAGUUGAAGGAUGUCUUAAGGCAGAAAGAACAACCUGUUUUAUGGUCGUGAAUUUAGAGGGGGUCCAGUGUACUUGAGUGACGAGCACUGUUGUCUCUGAAACACAAAAUGAACAGAAAUCUGAAACAAAAUUUAUUCUGCAGACUCAGUUUUGUAUUAGUCAUGGUUUUGAGUUUCAUAUGAUCUCUAAAAACAUUAAUCCCCCAUGAAUUUGUAUGGACACCUGUUCAAUAUACGUAAUGUACAAAUCUGAUAAGUUAUUAGUCAACAUACUUAAUUCAUAUCCUGAGACACUGCUGCCGUUCGACGCUGUUGCGACUUCUCAUGAAAAUAUGCCAACUGUUUUAUAUUACUGUAUUUGCUUUAUUUGUCUACAACAAAAUGAACAAGAAUAAUUGUUUUUCAGGAUCAUGCUGAAGAUCUGCUGGUGUUGAGAUUCAGCCCACCUAGUCUGCAGAGGUUGGCUAUAGAGGCUGUUUGUAAACAUGAAGUGAAGCUUCGGGAGCAGUGGCAUCUGCUACCUCACACACUACAGCAUAUCCUUGAAGUUCGCACCUGUUCUGACAGAAUAAGUUAGCAGUUCACAGUAAAGCAGUGUAAUAGCAACCAACUUUGUCCACACAUCAGCCCAAAAGCCCUCUUUUCCCAAAAAACUUGUUCAUACUCGCUGACUCUUUCAUUACCUCAUCCUCCAGAUAUUUACUACCUAUUGCCCUUUAUUAUCAUCAUCAUCAUAGCUCUUAACUUAGUUAUGAUAAUUGUCUCAAGAUUAGCAUAUUUUUGAAUUUUCAGUUAUUUCCGUAUCUCAAAUUGUCACAGCCAAAAUUGCAACAAUUAUGAAGUAAAACUAGGACAAAAAGCUUAAAAGGUAUAUAGAACUUACCACUCAUUGCAGUUAUACCUUGUGUAAGUACAUCAUUGUAAAAGGCAUUAAAAUUUGUAAUUUCAGCAUAAUGUACAGUUGUACAUUUUGUGGUAGAGACUAGGUUAAGUAAGUGAUGUGUACACUGAAUUUUCUUUCCCAAUUAUUUUGAUAGAGUUGUUGUUGUUGUUGUUGUUCAGCAUUUCAGCCUCAUAUGAGAGAAUAAUAAAUGGAAUUAUAAAACUAUGAAAUAAAGCUUUAGAUUUUUUUUAAUAAAUUACAUAAGUAAAACUUCGGUAGAAUCAUUGGCAGCUUUCUUGAGUUUUCUGGUGUUUUUCAUUUUUACUAAAGAUUUCUCUCCUCUACCAAUUCAGUCUCACUUUUUAUUAUGGUUAUCAAUCACCAGCUUAUACAACAGUUGUCAAAUUAUCUCCUGAGUAAAUGUAUAGUAUUAUAGGUGGCAUGGAAAUGUAUAUUUAAUUAAUGUAAUACUGCAUAUAUAAUAACUUUGUUAAUUUAAGCAUCAUGUCGGGUACUUGGAGUUUGUGGGAGUAUUUUUUUUUUUAAUCACACAUCGGUUGUUUCCCACUGAGGCAGGGUGACCCUUAUGGGAAUUGUAUAUUCAUUAUAAAAAUGUACAACUAAAAAAGUAAAUAAUAUAUUUUAAAUUUUUAUGGUACUAUAAUGACUUGCUGUCUCUGCCACCAACCACCUCACUCAAGUAUUUUGGACACUAAUCACAUGUUUCUCUUAUUCAUACUAUAACCUUUUACACUUGCAAGACAAUGGUUGCAUUACGUAUCAAGUACUAUGCAUAGAUUGCUUUAAUGUUGGAAGUUUGUGCAAAUUUGAAACAGGUUUAAUACGGCAGCUAUGGCAGCCUUUGUAAUUCUAUCGGCAAGCCUUCUUCAACACACCUUUCUGGUUGUCACACACUUUCUCAUUUUUUAUUAUCUUCAUCACUUGCCAGUCUGCAAGACAAUAAUAGACCUUCAUUCUGAAUCUUAAAAUAUUUACUCUGUUAAUUCCAUGCAAAAAUAAAAUAAAAUAGCUGUUUACAAUCUUU